UACCAGCACUCCGAGUGGUCUGCACGAUUAUUGGGCCUAAAGCAUCCGUAGCCGGCCUUACAAGUCCUCCGUUAAAUCCAGCUGCUUAACAGAUGGGCUGCGGAGGAUACUAUAAGACUAGGAGGCAGGAGAGGCAAGCGGUACUCAGUGGGUAGGGGUAAAAUCCGUUGAUCCAUUGAAGACCACCAGUGGCGAAGGCGGCUUGCCAGAAUGCGCUCGACGGUGAGGGAUGAAAGCUGGGGGAGCAAACCGG
RNAcentral lists this ribosomal RNA (253 nucleotides) under uncultured bacterium. RNAcentral's name for it is "partial 16S ribosomal RNA". It matches the Rfam family "Archaeal small subunit ribosomal RNA", at positions 474 to 727 of the family's 1478-position model. The record is from RNAcentral.